AAUAACCAAAUAUAACACUUGGGCUAAGUGUCAGGUCAAGUUGGUUAUUUUUCUUACAUCUCCGCCACCAGGGGCCCAAGUAUCAUAAACGCCUCCAAAAUAAAGAGCCUUGAACACUAGGAGAAAAGCGCUUACACCUAAUAAGAUUAAGUGAAUUCCCAAAAUAGUGGUCCUUUUAUUUCUAUCUUUCCA
Molecule: antisense RNA, 192 nt
Filed under: Amborella trichopoda
Lineage: Eukaryota; Viridiplantae; Streptophyta; Magnoliopsida; Amborellales; Amborellaceae
Description: lncRNA IsrR
Rfam family: Antisense RNA which regulates isiA expression
Source: Rfam by way of RNAcentral